AUGUAUUACCAUCAUCAUACUCACUCCUCACUAUUAUCAUCAUCAUACUCACUCCUCACUAUUACCAUCAUCAUACUCACUCCUCACGUAUUACCAUCAUCAUACUCACUCCUCAUGUAUUACCAUCAUCAUACUCACUCCUCAUGUAUUACCAUCAUCAUACUCACUCCUCACUAUUACCAUCAUCAUACUCACUCCUCACAAUUACAAUCAUCAUACUCACUCCUCAUGUAUUACCAUCAUCAUACUCACUCCUCAUGUAUUACCAUCAUCAUACUCACUCCUCACUAUUACCAUAAUCAUACUCACUCCUCACGUAUUACCAUCAUCAUACUCACUCCUCAUGUAUUACCAUCAUCAUACUCACUCCUCACUAUUACCAUCAUCAUACUCACUCCUCAAGUAUUACCAUCAUCAUACUCACUCCUCAUGUAUUACCAUCAUCAUACUCACUCCUCAUGUAUUACCAUCAUCAUACUCACUCCUCACUAUUACCAUCAUCAUACUCACUCCUCACUAUUACCAUCAUCAUACUCACUCCUCACGUAUUACCAUCAUCAUACUCACUCCUCACUAUUACCAUCAUCAUACUCACUCCUCAUGUAUUACCAUCAUCAUACUCACUCCUCAUGUAUUACCAUCAUCAUACUCACUCCUCAUGUAUUACCAUCAUCAUACUCACUCCUCACUAUUACCAUCAUCAUACUCACUCCUCACUAUUACCAUCAUCAUACUCACUCCUCACUAAUACCAUCAUCAUACUCACUCCUCACUAUUACCAUCACCAUACUCACUCCUCACUAUUACCAUCAUCUAACUCACUCCUCACUAUUACCAUCAUCAUACUCACUCCUCACUAUUACCAUCAUCAUACUCACUCCUCACUAUUACCAUCAUCAUACUCACUCCUCAUGUAUUACUAUCAUCAUACUCACUCCUCACUAUUACCAUCAUCAUACUCACUCCUCAUGUAUUACCAUCACCAUACUCACUCCUCACUAUUACCAUCAUCAUACUCACUCCUCACGUAUUACCAUCAUCAUACUCACUCCUCAUGUAUUACCAUCAUCAUACUCACUCCUCACUAUUACCAUCAUCAUACUCACUCCUCAUGUAUUACCAUCAUCAUACUCACUCCUCACUAUUACCAUCAUCAUACUCACUCCUCACUAUUACCAUCAUCAUACUCACUCCUCACUAUUACCAUCAUCACUCACUCCUCACUAUUACCAUCAUCAUACUCACUCCUCACUAUUACCAUCAUCAUACUCACUCCUCACUAUUACCAUCAUCAUACUCACUCCUCACUAUUACCAUCAUCAUACUCACUCCUCAUGUAUUACCAUCAUCAUACUCACUCCUCAUGUAUUACCAUCAUCAUACUCACUCCUCACUAUUACCAUCAUCAUACUCACUCCUCAUGUAUUACCAUCAUCAUACUCACUCCUCAUGUAUUACCAUCACCAUACUCACUCCUCACUAUUAUCAUCAUCAUACUCACUCCUCACUAUUACCAUCAUCAUACUCACUCCUCACGUAUUACCAUCAUCAUACUCACUCCUCAUGUAA
RNAcentral lists this long non-coding RNA (1569 nucleotides) under Oncorhynchus mykiss (rainbow trout). RNAcentral's name for it is "lncRNA (ENSOMYG00000061350.1)". The record is from RNAcentral. Lineage: Eukaryota; Metazoa; Chordata; Actinopteri; Salmoniformes; Salmonidae.